GAUGAAGAACGUAGCGAAAUGCGAUAAGUAGUGUGAAUUGCAGAAUUCAGUGAAUCAUCGAAUCUUUGAACGCACAAUGCGCCCUUUGGUAUUCCUUAGGGCAUGCCUGUUCGAGCGUCAUUUAAACCUUCAAGCUAAGCUUGGUGUUGGGUGACUGUCCGCUUCACGGCGGACUCGCCUCAAAAUUAUUGGCGGCCGGUACAUUGGCUUCGAGCGCAGCAGAAACGCGAACUCGGGCCCGUCGUAUUGGCUCCCAGAAGCUAUCUUCACAAUUUUGACCUCGGAUCAGGUAGGGAUACCCGCUGAACUUAAGCAUAUCAAUAAGCGGAGGA
This 332-nucleotide unclassified non-coding RNA is filed under the name soil metagenome. RNAcentral's name for it is "partial contains 5.8S ribosomal RNA, internal transcribed spacer 2, and large subunit ribosomal RNA". The stretch from base 1 to 120 matches the Rfam family "5.8S ribosomal RNA", at positions 35 to 154 of the family's 154-position model. The record is from RNAcentral.